RNAcentral lists this ribosomal RNA (681 nucleotides) under uncultured bacterium. RNAcentral's name for it is "bacterial SSU rRNA". It matches the Rfam family "Bacterial small subunit ribosomal RNA", at positions 61 to 760 of the family's 1533-position model. The record is from RNAcentral.
GUCUAUGAGGAGCUUAGCUUGCUAAUGGACUCAUGGCGGACGGGUGAGUAACGCGUAAAGAACUUGCCCUUUAGACUGGGAUAACAGAGGGAAACUUCUGAUAAUACUGGAUAAGUUAGUAUAUCGCAUGAUAUGCAAAUGAAAGCUACGGCACUAAAGGAGAGCUUUGCGUCCUAUUAGCUAGUUGGUAAGGUAAGAGCUUACCAAGGCGAUGAUAGGUAGCCGGCCUGAGAGGGUGGACGGCCACAAGGGGACUGAGAUACGGCCCUUACUCCUACGGGAGGCAGCAGUGGGGAAUAUUGGACAAUGGAGGGAACUCUGAUCCAGCAAUUCUGUGUGUGUGAAGAAGGUUUUAGGACUGUAAAACACUUUUAGUAGGGAAGAAAAAAAUGACGGUACCUACAGAAGAAGCAACGGCUAAAUACGUGCCAGCAGCCGCGGUAAUACGUAUGUUGCGAGCGUUAUCCGGAAUUAUUGGGCUUAAAGGGCAUCUAGGCGGUAAGACAAGUUGAAGGUGAAAACCUGUGGCUCAACCAUAGGCUUGCCUACAAAACUGUUGAACUAGAGUACUGGAAAGGUAGGUGGAACUACACGAGUAGAGGUGAAAUUCGUAGAUAUGUGUAGGAAUGCCGAUGAUGAAGAUAACUCACUGGACAGAAACUGACGCUGAAGUGCGAAAGC